CCUACGGGUGGCAGCAGUGAGGAAUAUUGGUCAAUGGGCGCGAGCCUGAACCAGCCAAGUAGCGUGAAGGAUGACUGCCCUACGGGUUGUAAACUUCUUUUAUAAAGGAAUAAAGUGAGGCACGUGUGCCUUUUUGUAUGUACUUUAUGAAUAAGGAUCGGCUAACUCCGUGCCAGCAGCCGCGGUAAUACGGAGGAUCCGAGCGUUAUCCGGAUUUAUUGGGUUUAAAGGGAGCGUAGAUGGGUUGUUAAGUCAGUUGUGAAAGUUUGCGGCUCAACCGUAAAAUUGCAAUUGAUACUGGCAGUCUUGAGUACAGUUGAGGUAGGCGGAAUGCGUGGUGUAGCGGUGAAAUGCUUAGAUAUCACGCAGAACCCCGAUUGCGAAGGCAGCCUGCCAAGCCAUGACUGACGCUGAUGCACGAAAGCGUGGGGAUCAAACAGGAUUAGAUACCCCAGUAGUC
RNAcentral lists this ribosomal RNA (460 nucleotides) under uncultured bacterium. RNAcentral's name for it is "partial 16S ribosomal RNA". It matches the Rfam family "Bacterial small subunit ribosomal RNA", at positions 338 to 795 of the family's 1533-position model. The record is from RNAcentral.